CGGACGGGUGAGUAACGCGUGGGAAUGUGCCCUUCUCUACGGAAUAGCCCUGGGAAACUGGGAGUAAUACCGUAUACGCCCUAUUGGGGAAAGAUUUAUCGGAGAAGGAUCAGCCCGCGUUGGAUUAGGUAGUUGGUGGGGUAAUGGCCUACCAAGCCGACGAUCCAUAGCUGGUUUGAGAGGAUGAUCAGCCACACUGGGACUGAGACACGGCCCAG
Molecule: ribosomal RNA, 218 nt
Filed under: uncultured Rhodobacterales bacterium
Lineage: Bacteria; Pseudomonadati; Pseudomonadota; Alphaproteobacteria; Rhodobacterales
Description: partial 16S ribosomal RNA
Rfam family: Bacterial small subunit ribosomal RNA
Source: RNAcentral